GGUCCGUAUAGUUAAAGCUAUGGUUUUCCCAGUAGUGAUGUAUGGAAGUGAGAGCUGGACCAUAAAGAAGGCUGAUUGCCGAAGAAUUGAUGCUUUUGAAUUCUGGUGCUGGAGGAGACUCUUGAGAGUCCCAUGGACUGCAAGAAGAUCAAACUUAUCCAUUCUUCAGGAAAUCAGCCCUGAGAAGGACAAAUCCUGAAGCUGAGACUCCAAUACUUUGGCCACCUCAUGAGAAGAGAAGACUCUCUGGAAAAGACCCUGAUGUUGGGAAAGAUGGAGGGGACGACAGAGGAUGAGAUGGUUGGACAGUGUCCUUGAAGCUACCAGCACGAGUUUGACCAAACUGCGGGAGGCAGUGGAAGACAGGAGUGCCUGGCGUGCUCUGGUCCAUGGGGUCACGAAGAGUCAGACACGACUAAACGACUAAACAACAACAACAACAAAUGGACAAUAGCAGUGGCGGAGCUUCAUGCUCUGGCACCGGGGGGGCGGAGAGCAGGCGGGGCGGGGCGGGGCACGCUGCCUGCAGUGGUGUGGCGCCCAGUGCAGGCAGUGAGGAAGCCACGAUGGCACCCUGCCGGGAUCGCGCUGCUGGGGGUGGUGCGCUCCCCCAGCACUCCUCUUCCUCCGCCAGUUGACAAAGAUUCACAAAAUGUUUUGGGGUAUGCGUCCCCCCAGGAAAAAAGCACUGGGUUUGCGUUUUAUUAUUUAUACUCUGCGCAUCUCACUGAGUUGCCCCAUCCACUCUGGGUGGUUUCCAACAUAUAAAAACACAUAAUAAAACUUCAAACGUUAAAAAAACUUCCCUGUAGUUACUUAUCCCCUUGGCUCAGGGACUGCAUAACUCCAACAUUUCUCUGAUGGAAAUAGGGAUGUUUGAAGGAAAAGCACGACAUUCCAGGAUAAAAUCGGAAACUUGGGUGGUUUCUGUAAAUCCAGGACUGUUCCUUGAAAAUAGGGACACUUGGAGGGUCUGCGACUCACUGGCAGAGGAGUGCAGGGGGAGCACACCACUCCCGGCAGAGGGAUCCCAGUAAGGUGCCAUAGCGGUUGCCCCCUGCCCACGCUAGAUGCCACGCUGCUGCAGGUGGUAUGCCCUGCCCCCAGGAUGCAUGCCAUGCCCCUGUGGGUGGCUCACCCCGCCCCCGGGACAUGCACCAGCCCCGCCCCUGCCUGCUCUCCACCCCCCAGUGCCGGAGUAUGAAGCUCCACCACUGCUGGGACUGGCUUCCAUUUCUACAUGUUAAGAGUGUCCUAGGUAAAGGUAAAGGGACCCCUGACCAUUAGGUCCAGUCGUGACCGACUCUGGGGUUGCGGUGCUCAUCUUGCUUCAUUGGCCAAGGGAGCCGGUGUACAGCUUCCGGGUCAUGUGGCCAGCAUGACUAAGCCACUUCUGGUGAACCAGAGCAGCGCACGGAAACGCCGUUUACCUUCCUGCCGGAGCGAUACCUAUUUAUCUACUUGCACUUUGACGUGCUUUUGAACUGCUAGGUUGGCAGGAGCAGGGACCGAGCAACGGGGGCUCACCCCAUCGUGGGGAUUCGAACCACCAACCUUCUGAUUGGCAAGUCCUAGGCUCUGUGGUUUAACCCACAGCACCACCCGCGUCCCCAAAAAUGUCCUAGUUCUGAUUAAAUGUAAGGUAUUGGAUGUCUUUAUAAUAGAUUUAGGAAAGAUUUAGGAAACUUAUUGAUUAGAAUAUUUGUGUGAGAUUGUAUGGGAAAAAUACGGAAUAACAGAUACAAUCUUGCUUAAAAUGUAUAUAGGAAGUGCAGUGCAAGCGAUGGAAGUCAAUCAAUGAAAUUUUAUUAUUAUUUUCAUAUUGAGAUAUUUGUAGAAUCAACUUGGAAGAAAUUCUUCCAACUUUUCUUCUUCUUCUUUUCUCUUUUUUUCUUCUUAUUUUUCUCGCUUUUGUUCCUUUUUUCAUAAAUAUGUGCUUAUUUAAAAUAUAUAUGUAUGUAUAGAUUUGCAAUAUUUUGCUUAUAUUGUGUAAUUUUUUUAAAAAAAUAUUUUUUUAAAAAUUGUCCUAGUUCUGUGUGUUGCUAUAAAAACAAAACAAAAGAAAAACCCCAGUUGUUUCCAAUGACUUGCCAUUUGUGAGUCUCUGCUUUAUAUAUAGUUUGACUUCCAAAACAUUUGGAAACCAAAGUGCAGCUUAUGAAGCUCCUGUAGCCAAUCGGAAGCCACAGAAGCCCCGUCGGAUGUUCAGCUUCCAAAAGAACGUUUGAAAACCGGAACACUCACUGUGCUGAUUUGUUUGGGAGCCUGAGCAUUUGCGCCUGAGGCACUGAGCAGUGGUACAUUGGGGAUAUUGCCUGGCUUGCUGGUACAGUGAUCAGUCUCGUGUCAAGCCUGAUGCCAGCUGGUGUCAGCUGUGAGAAAGAGCUUGGGAUCCAGUGGAUCCCAAUCCAACUCAGCCCUGCCCUCAGAAUGCCCCAUUCGGGGGCUUUCCACAAGGCUCUGCUAACUGCCAGUGGGUCUUUUUGCCUGUCCUUGAGCAUAGGGCAGAGGUCUACACCAGUAGGAGAUCAGAUGAGCCAGCAGAAGUGAGAGGAAGGAUGCCCCAGUUGAAUCCAAAUAGGCUCAUAGUCUGACAGAAGGGGAGUUUGAAUUGCAGCCCAAAGCCCAGAUGUUGUAGAAUGGCACCGUUUUCAAGUGUGACUCAUGUUUCAGAAUUUUGUAAGGCACAUUUUCUCCCAGGCAAAGGAUAGGAAAACAAUAUUUGAACCUCUGAGACUUCAGUGGCAGUAAAAUGAGGGUGUUUUUUGUCAUUGUAUUGGAGGUGAAUCAGAUCAAGAAGAAACCUCGCUGAGAGAAAUUGCUGUUGUGUUUACUGAAAGCUCACCCAUAUUGUGCCUCUGACCCUCAACGUUGACCCGCUUUUAAAUGCAGGUGUAAUUUCCCCCCAUAUUAGUUUCUAGAAGCUCUUGUAAUCUUAAAAAGACAGCUUAAAUUGCUUCCAUUGAAUAUAUUAUUUUGAAGGCAUCUUAUGAGAGAUUUGUCAGCGGCGAGGGAGGAGAAUUUGGAUCUCAAGCCUGCUGGAUACUAUUUAACAAGGUCACAUAUUUUAUUUAUUUUUUGAAUUUAUAUACCGCCCUAUAGCCAGAGGUCUCAGGGUGGUUCACAGAAAAGAUCACAAUAUAUAAAAUAAAAAUAGAAACAAUAACCCAAUAACACCUCCCAAUAAAGAGCCACAUUUUAAAAGGGUAUAGGAUGUCGAUCAGGUAAACCAAAGGCUCGGUUAAAAAGGAAUGUUUUUGCCUGGUGCCCAAAGGUGUAUAAUGAAGGCACUAGGCAAACUUCCAUGGGCAGAACAUUCCACAGAUGGGAAGCCACUGCAGAGAAGGCCCUGUUCUCGUGUUGCCACCCUCUGGACCUCUUGAGGAGGAGGCACACAAAGAAGGGCCUCAGAAGAUGAUCUCAGGGUCCAGGUAGGUUCAUAUGGAAAGUGGCAUUCUUGAGGUAUUGUGGUUCUGAGCCGUAAUGUAUGAUAUCACAUGUGUUACAUCACUUCCUUACAUCACUUGUUUUAUUCUGGAGUCAUACAGGACAACAGGGGUGCCUGAGAUGAGAAGGGUGUAAUUAUAAAGAGAUAAUUCUGAGGACUUUUGAUGUUCUCUGGGUCUAACCAUGUAUGAGUGUUGAGGCCCUUCUCCAGCUUCUCUCACCUAAAGCAGUGAAACAGGUGAUUACUAAGGAAGCAGGUGACACCCUGAUGAUGGAAGGUGCUCCAUAAGAAGAUUCACCUGCCACCUAGGAUUAGAAAAGCCAUUGCUAUUCUAGGCUGCAUCAACAGAAGUAUAUAAUAAUAAUAAUAAUAAUAAUAAUAAUAAUAAUAAUAAUACUAUUCUACUCUGCCUUGGUCUGACCACACCUGGAACACUAUGUCCAAUUCUGGGCAUCACAAUUUUUUUUAAUAUUCGGUUUGAAGUCACCCAGAGUGGCUGGGGAAACCCAGCCAGAUGGGCGGAGUAUAAAUAAAUUAUUAUUAUUAUUAUUAUUAUUAUUAUUAUUGAUGUUGACAAGCUGGAAUAUGUGCAGAGGAGGGCAACCAAGAUGAUCAAGAUGUCUGACCACAGUGAGUAAAAGAAAAGAAAAUAUACCGUAUUUUUCGCUCUAUAAGACACACUUUUUUCCUCCUAAAAAGUAAGGGGAAAUGUGUGUGCAUCUUAUGGAGUGAAUGAAGAGGCUUUGCGUUGCUUUUGCUGAAGCCUGCACAGCAAGAGGGAGAGCUGCACAGUGCCUCUUGUUGUGAUGCCUUAGCCUGAUCCUCCAUCCUCCUUCCUCUUCAACAACAUUUGAUUCAGAAUAUAUUUUUUUCUUGUUUUCCUCCUAUAAAACUAGGUGCAUCUUAUGGUCUGGUGCGUCUUAUAUAGAGAAAAAUACGGUAUCUAUUUUCCCAAUACUGUUUGGUCAAUUGCUGCAAGAGGCACCACAUCCCAACUAAAAAGGUAGAAGGGAAAGGACCCCUGUUCUCAGGAAGGUUCAGAAGAAGGGGGUCGGUCCCCACCAUUCCGUCUCAGUCCAGCCCCUGACACUUAGUUAAGGAACCUACUUUUUUGCCUAGAGGUAAAGGUAAAUACCCCCUGGACAGUUAAGUUCAGUCAAAGGCGACUAUGGGUUGCGGCGCUCAUCUCAAUUUCAGGCUACAGGACCCAGUGUUUGUCCACACACAGCUUUCCGGGUCAUGUGGCCAGCAUGACUAAACCUGUUCUGGUGCAACAGGAUCACUGCGUCGGAAGCUAGAACACAGGGAAAUGUCGUUUACCGUCCUGCCACAGCGGUACCUAUUUAUCUACUUGCACUGGUGUGCUUUUGAGCUGCAAGGUUGGCAGAAGCCAGCAGCAGAACAACAGGAGCUCACUCCGUCACAGGGAUUCAAACCACUGACCUUCCAAUCAGCAACUAACCCCUGUGAACAUGAGCAUUCUCUUUGGGUGCUCUGGUUUUGAUAUUGAAAUUGUAUUCAUUGACUUGUUCAAAAGCUGACAAGUGCAGAGUAUUCCCCGUGUAUUUCUUGUUUAGUGUCUCUACCCAACAGAUGGAAUUUUAUGCCAUGCAGCAUUAGGCUACUGUUAAAUUUUAAUUUCAAUUAAUGGUCUUUACACUCUUUCUUUACACACGAGGGAUAUUUUGUGCAUUCAUUUCCCUUCUAAUUAGCUUUUGCUGCUGAAUUCACUCUGAAUCUCCGGAAGUCAUUAGAUUCUUAAACAUUCACAACUGAAUUUACUGACUUUAAUAAAAUUAAUUGGUUCUCCGCAGGAGAAAAACAUUGCCAAAAAUUUGAUUCACCUAGUAUUCUUUGUUGUGUUAGUGUACUUCUGCAUUCCAUUACACUACCUCUUCUGUUAUUGUUGUUUAGCUCACCUUAUCUCUCACAUAAUAGGAACGUAGGUGCUUUGGCUUCUUUAAAGAAACACAGUCCAUUUCAAUUUUUUUACUACCAAUGUUGAGCUACAAGCUAUGGAUUUUGGUUGAGAAGUCUUUUAUUCUACAGGUUUCCUUGAGAAUAAUAUUCAAGGCCAUAUGCAUAGGGACAUAAACAUCUGCCUUAUGUAGGAACAUCUACCAAUGUUCCGUUGCGGGUGGAGCUGUGGUCUAAACCACUGAGCCUCUUGGGCUUGCCGAUCAGAAGGUUGGCGAUUCGAAUCCCCACAACGGGGUGAGCUCCCGUUGCUCUGUCCCAGCUCCUGCCAACCUAGCAUUUCAAAAGCAUGCCAGCAGAAGUAGAUAAAUAGGUACUGCUGCUGUGGGAAGGUAAAUGGCAUUUCCAUGCACUCUGGUUUCCAUUACGGUGUUCUGUUGCACCAGAAGCGGUUUUGUCAUGCUGGCCACAUUAACUGGAAAGCUGUCUGUGAACAAACACUGGCUCCCUUGGCCUGAAAGCGAGAUGAGCACUGCAACCCCAUAGUCGCCUUUGACUGGACUCAACCGUCCAGGUCCUUUACAUUUACCUACCUCAGUGUUCUCUACACUGACUGGCAAUGGCUGUCUAGGUCUGUCUAGACCUAGACUAGGGCUGUCUAAUGUCCUAAAGAGGGCAUUCCCAGCUCUACCUUGAGAUGCCAGGGCUUGAGCUGGGAAAAUUUGGCAUGCAAAACUAGUGCCAUACCACCAAGCUAUGACCCUUUCCAAGGAUGAGGGUUAAACUACACGUGAUGUGAAAUGCAUCAUCAGAAAGCACAUCUUUUAUUCUUACUUUGAAUCAUAGAAUCAUAGAAUUGUAGAAUUGAAAGGGACAAUGAGGGGCAUCUCGUUCAACCCCUUGCAAUGCAAUAAAUCUUUUGCCCAGUGUGGGGCUCCUACCCACGAUCCUGAGAUUAAGAUUCUCAUCUUCUACCGACUGAAGAUCAAAUGUGAGGGGGCACCUAUAGAAGCUUCUCUUCCGUAGCAAGCAAGCCGCAACUAUGGAGUUUCCAUUGGACUGUGAUGGGAGAAAUAAAGGGUCAAACCUCUCCUUCCCGUAUACUGUGGUUCUGAUUAAAAUUAAGGGCCCUAGUGCCCAGUACUACUAUUUUUUAAGACAUGUUUCCAAUGAUGCAUUUAACAUCAUGUCUAGCUUAGCCCUAAAAGGGACCGCAUGCUUGGUGUGAAGGUAUGAAAUGGAGGCAUGACACAUACAGAGAGAUAGAGUGUCAAAUCAUAGAGCUCUUUUACUUUUUGCUAGAGGCGAUAACAUGUGGCAGGGCAAAAAACUGGCUGGCUAGCUAGGGUGCCUUCUUAGGAGGGAUGCCAAGGAAACAAAGCAAACUGGGAUCCUCUAGAUCAGGGGUAGGCAACCUAAUCCAGCCCAGUUGCCUUCUAAAUCUGGUCCGCGGACUGUCCAGGAAUCAGCAUGUUUUUACAUGAGUAGAAUGUGUCCUUUUAUUUAAAAUGCAUCUCUGAGUUAUUUGUGGGGCAUAGGAAUUCAUUCAUUCCCGCUCCCCAGUAUAGCCUGGUCCACCACAUGGUCUGAGGGAUGGUGGACCAGCCCACGGCUGAAAAAGGUUGCUCACCCCUGAUAUAAGGGGUCAGAUGAUCUUUCAGGGAUCUAGAUCUUAUCACCUAUUCCUGUGGAAAUUUCUGCAGGUAUUCUGGAGGCCCCUACUUCCUGCUCUGGCAGAGGUGUGGAACUUAUGCUGCAUUCAAAAACCGCUCCAUCAUCCUUGGGCUAGAAUAUAUAAAUUUACGGAAGGCCCUGUUGGAUUAGACCAAAGGCCCAUCCAUACCCUCCAACAUAUUAUAGCCCAAAACUGGGCCACACAUCUUCCGCACUCCCGGGUGAAUCACAUGACCCUCCUGAGAGUACAGAGCCCAAAAGCACAUAUUUCUGGGCAACAUGCUCUCGCAUGUUUUUAGGUGAGCAUGUCUCAAUUCAAUCAGGACAGUUGAGGAGCAUUCCCAUCUAGUCUAGCAUGCUGUUCUUACAGUGGCCAGCCAGAAGCCUAUGGGAAAUCUGAAAGUUUGGGAUUACAGCUUCAGCAAAAUUAUGUCAUUUUUUAAAAUGACCUUACCAAUGAAGUCAGAUACAACAACAAUAACAGAAAUUGGACCCCACCUCAAAUGGCACAUUCUCCUUUUUCUUAGAUAUUAUUUACAAGCAUGGGGUCUGGGGAAGUCAAUUCUGUGCCAUUAACAACGCGAUUUGACUUCGCCACAACAAAUUUGCAGGCAUUGCUCUAUUCUAACAUGAAACAAAAAAGUAAGUGCAUGCAUUUAUAUAUUUAAAAAAGGCAUGGGCACAAAGCAUGGUGCAACCUCAUUUUGUGUUAUUCAUACUCACGAAUAGUGAAAUAAAAUAAUGUUAUCAUUCCCCCACUCUCGCUUCAGUCUUUUAAAAAUGCUGAUGGAGACAAAAGGCUGCCUCUCAAAAGCAGAUGAUCUGAAGAAAAGGAUUGGUGCUAAUUGAAAAGCUUUAAUUUUCUCUCUCUUUCCAAAGCAGUUAUGUGCUUUUGUCUACAGUUUUUGCAUAAAUGGCUUUAAACAAUGGCUGCUCCAGAUUUAUGAAUUUAUCAGACCAGAAUUUAAAUAGCUCCAAGAAAUCAGAUCAGUCAAAAGAAAUAAUAAUAAUAAUAAUAAUAAUAAUAAUAAUAAUAAUAAUAAUCAGCCACCUGUUCCAAUUAACACAUUCAAUUUUAUCUUUGAGCAUUUUCUCCUCUGUCCAUGCUCCUAUUCUGAAUGAAGAAAUUCAUAAAGACCAAUCUCUUAUUUUGCUAUUUCACUGAGGACAAUGGUGAAAUCUUAAGCCAGAUUAUUCUUAUUCUCUGCUCAGAUUUAAACACACACACACACACACACACACACACACACACACACACUUUUCCAUGGAAAGAAAGACACUCAGUAACAUAUUCUUAAAUAUCUUUGUAUAAUUUUGAAACUUUUCUGUGUUUCGAAGUGCUGAGCAAACCGUUCUCUGAAAUUUACACGUGUUUAUUGCCUUUUCUUUUUAAGCAAGUGUCUUGAGGCAGCCCUGCUUCGCAUAAACAAUACUGACUUCAUUACCAGCUCAGUUUCGUGCGCAAGCAGAUCAGUUGCUGCCAUAAUAUUGUCUGGGGUGCAUUUCCCCCCUUAUCCCUUCAGCUUUUGUUUGGGAUCAUUUUAUGGUGCCAGUAACUCUCUGGCCUCCUUGGGUUGUUGUCUUUUAUUGUCUGCAUUUGCCAGCUGCAAUUACAAAGGCUGCCUUUUAAAAGCACGAGUUGUUAUGAGCAGGGGAAAUGAGGAUUUUCUGCACAUAUAUUCUUCCCCACCCCAUCAGAAGAUUAUCAUUCCUGAGUCAUAUUAGCCCCAUUAAACUCGAAAGUAAUGCAAAAUUUGAAAUAAUCCUUAAUAUUAAACUCUAACACAAGACUGAUUGUUUGGAUUUAGCUCUCACCUUCACCCCUCUUAUUGUUAGUAAUGUGAGGAAUAAUGGUCAAAGUGCAGUUCUUGAUUCCAGAAAAUUCAUUGUUCUUGUUGAAGCUGUACAGGUGCUGUGGGUUAAACCACAGAGCCUAGGACUUGCCGGUCAGAAGGUCGGUGGUUCGAAUCCCCAUGAAGGGGUGAGCUCCCGUUCAGUCCCUGCUCCUGCCAACCUAGCAGUUCAAAAGCACGUCAAAGUGCAAGUAGAUAAAUAGGCGGGAAGGUAACCGGUGUUUCCGUGUGCUGCUCUGGUUCGCCAGAAGCAGCUUGGUCAUGCUGGCCACAUGACCCGGAAGCUGUAUGCCGGCUCCCUUGGCCAAUAAAGCGAGAUGCGCGCAGCAACCCCAGAGUCGGUCACGACUGGACCUAAUGGUCAGGGGUCCCUUUACCUUUACCUUUUACAGCCAUUAUCUGACCAACCAGUGGUUAAACUGAGUCCAGGAGCACUCAAUCUGCAAGCUUGGUUUUUCUGCAUGAGUGCAGCCUCAUCCAAAGCAAACUGUGUACCUCACCUUGGUUUAACUUCACUAUCAAUCCAAAAUAUAUUUGUCAGAUCAAAGAAAAUAUAUACAGUGGUACCUCGGGAUGCGAACGGGAUACGUUCCGGAGCCCCGUUCGCAUCCUGAAUGGAACGUAAGACACUACGGGUUAUUAUUAUUUCCUAUCUUUAAAAGACAUCUGAAGGCAGCCCUGUUCAGGGAAGUUUUUAAUAUUUAAAGCUGUACUGUUUUUAACAUUUGAUUGGGAGCCGCCCAGAGUGGCUGGGGAAGCUCAGCCAGAUGGGCGGGGUAUAAAUAAUAAAUUAUUAAAUUAUUAUUAUUACGGUGUGUCUGCGCAUGCGUGGUUGCGUUUUGCCGCUUCUGCGCAUGCACAUGACAACAUUUUGAGCGUCUGCGCAUGAGCGAGCGGCGAAACAUGGAAGUAACGCACUCCGUUACUUCCGGGUUGCCGCAGAGUGCAAUCCGAAAGUGCUCAACCUGAAGCACAUUCAACCCGAGGUAUGACUGUACCUCUCUGUGAUUUUGAUGGGGAAAUGGAGUCAUGCUAUGCACAGAAUCUACAUCAGGGAUGGAGAAUUCAGAUUCCAGCUGUAAAUUUCUGACAAUAAGAGCAAUUCAACAGUGGAACAGACUCCCUCAGGAGGUGGUGGCAUUUCCUUCAUUGGAGUUUGCUAAGCAGAAGUUGGAUGGCCAUCUGUCAUGGAUGUUUUAUUUCAGGAUCCUGUCAUGGAUCCUGCAUUUCAGAGGGUUGGAUCAGAUGACUCUUGAGAUCCCUUCCAACUCUACAAUUCUAUGAUUCUAUGUUUCCUGGAUGCCUGCAGGACCCAUAAUGAUAUCUGAGAUCACCGGGUUAUUGGCAAAGCUUGAGAGACCGCAUAGUUAUGUCCAACAAAAAAGCAUUGAUACAAAUGAAUGUUUAAUGUAGUUUGGGCUACUUUGCUGCACAACUCAAUAGUAGUAUUAACCAGUGUUGUGCAGCUUCAUUACCACCUAUAAAGGUAAAGGUACCCCUGACCGUUAGGUCCAGUCGCGGACAACUCUGGGGUUGCGGCGCUCAUCUCGCUAUACUGGCCGAGGGAGCUGGUGUUUGUUGGCAGACAGCUUCCAUGUCAUGACAGCUUCUUAGCAUGACUAAGCCGCUUCUGGCAAACCAGAGCAGUGCACGGAAAUGCUGUUUACCUUCCCACCUAUUCAUCUACUUGCACUUUGAUGUGCUUUCGAACUGCUAGGUGGGCAGGAGCUGGGACUGAACAAUGGGAGCCCACCCUGUCGUGGGGAUUCGAACUGCCGACCUUCCAAUAGGCAAGCCCUAGGCUCUGUGGUUUAGACCACAGCGCCACCCACGUCCCUAUCACCACCUAUGCAUACCAACAAAAGAUGAAGUCUUUGUUCUGCAUGACUUAAUCUUAACCUUAUCUCUGUCUGUCUCAGAGUUGUUGAAUAGCAAACAUUAUAAUAAUGAUAGAGAUUAAAAUGUUAGCCCGAAGUCACAUACCUGAUACAAUAGAUGAAUCUUUAAUUCAGCUUCAAAAUUGCUAAAAUAAUGUUAAAUUCAAAUUUUUCUGCACCAGCGAGCAAUAGCUCAUCUAGAAAAGAAAUGACGCAUGUUUAAUUCAUCACUUCAAAUGUGUUAGUGGUUUGGGGAGAUUUUAAUUCCACCUUUUCCUUUGGUAAUUGGCGGCAUGUCUAGCAAAAAGUCACACCAACAGCCACAGAGGAGAAAACAAGAACAAAACCACCCUCCCUCCCUUUUUUUCUUAGGCAAGUUAAAUGACAUAUACAUAAUUCAAUAACAAAUUCACUGUUGGUAGGGAAGUAAGCAAUAAAUAAAGUGGAAUAGGGCCGAGGCAUCAAUUUGUAAGACAUUUGACACAUACAGGGAUAGAGCAACCCUACUGGGAUGUGGGCGGGAGAAUCUACUGCACACCUACCACCACAUCCUAAGCCAUGGGUAAGCAACAUUGCACCCUCCAGAUGUUGUUGGACUCCAACUUCCAUCAGCCAUAGAUAUAAUGAUCCCUGGCAGACGACCAGUCGGAUAAACAGUAAUGAGACGCUUUCAGUUCUAUUUUGCUUUAUUUACAGAAGAAACACAUCAAGAGCAGGGCUUUCUGCUUCCACUCAGUAACAAUAGUUGGCUAAUCUGAAUCAGUGCUCUUCCCCCAGCAGGAAGGACGCCAGGGCCACAACUUUCUUCCCUGCCCCUUCCGCUGAUUUCUGAGCUUCCAACCCUUCAAGUUUGAGGGCUCAUGGCAGUGCUGGAUUUACGUAUAAGCUAAACAAGCUAUAGGUAAGGGCUCCAGUCUCUUGGGGGGCCCAAAAAAUUAAAGGGAAAAAACUGAAUGUACAUUUCCAAAAUAUAAGAUAAAAAACAAAUAAAAUAAAACCUACAUACAGCAACAGUGUCUUGUGUUGUGUAGGCUCCUAUGAUGUAAGUAACGGGCCCCGCCUGCUAGCCUGCUCCCUAAAACACCACUGGUUUGCUCAUUUCUAUAUAUAGGGUGCCUACAUUCUGCAUGUGCAAAUGGCUUUAGAUACCUAUUAGGUCCAUAAAUUACCAUAUAGCAUAUAUUCAACAGAAAAAACAGUGGGAAUUUGUUGUUGAAAAAGGACAGCUGGACAUAUAAAGGGCCCCAUUACCUCCAGUAGCUUAGGGCCUCCUCAAACCUAAAUCCGGCCCUGGCUCAUGGGUUGGCUUCCCCCCUCCCUGCUCCCAUUAGAUAUCAACUCUACCUCUGCUGGCAGCUGGGCUUUGCUCUGAACGUCUUCCAAUUCUCCCUCUCUUUCUGAGCUAAUAGAGGCUGCCCUGGAAGAAAGGGGGGCUGGCAGGGCCGUCUUACCCAUAGGCGCUAGAGGUGCGGGGCACCUGGGCACCGGGUUUUCAGGAGUGCCAGGCCGAGAGGCCGGGGCCCGAGAGUUGAGUCCGGGGAAGAGCCUGCCCAUCGGUUGGAGCGCCACAGCAGGCUCUUUUGCUGCGGGCGGCUCUGUGCCACGAGUUGGGGGGUGACCGAGGCUGUGAGAUGCUGAGGUGGCUUGCCGACUCUGCCCUCCUGCACGCCUGGGACUGGGCAACCUGGGGGGGAAUCUUUGCACCCUGGUGCCACAUAUGCUUAAGACAGCCCUGGGGGCUGGGCUGCUCAGUCUGGAAUGUGACAGCUCAUCUGCAGAGUCAGACGCUUCUACGCUUAACUCACUUUCCAAGGCUGACCACGUUCUUGACAAUCGACUACUUGGCCAAUGGUCAGGGAUAAUAGGAGGUAGAGUCCAACUUUCUCAUUGGCUGCCUCUGACUUUAGCCCUACUGGGCUUCUGCCAUUUUUUAAGUUCUUCAUCUUCUUCCCACCACAGCCACCACCAUCCCUGGCUCCUUUUGAAAAAUAACAAUGGUGGAAGUUGGAAGUCAAGAAAAUGGUGGUGAUAGGCAAGAGAAGUAUGGCAGCAAUGGGAGAAGCAGACCCUUCUAAGUGUCCCUAUUUUCCAGGGACCAUCUUAGAUUUACAGAAGCCAUCCCGGUUUCUGAUUUGAUCCCGGAAUGUCCCGCUUUUCCUUGGGACGUCCCUAUUUUCAUCGGAGAAAUGUUGGAGGGUGUGGAGUUAUCUGACACCCACACCCACGCCAACCAUCCUAAGGCAGCCCUGCAUAGGGAAGUUUUAAAAUAUUUAAUGUUUUAUUAUGGUUUUCUAUUUGUUGGAAGCCGCCUAGUCAGAUGGGUGGGGGUAUGAUGAUGAUGAUGAUGAUAGUCUCUAUUUUCAUUGGAUAAAUGCUGGGGGGUAUGGAGAAUGACCGCUCCCCGCUUAAAACGGGGGGCGCCCUUUGCGUGGAGGCGCGCAGCCCCUGGAUCUGGAGUGGCUCCAUCAGCAUAGGCUUGGCUUUGCCUUCCCUCAGGUGGGAUACCUGGAGGUCUCCGCCUACCUCAGUCAGUUGUCCAAUCCCAACUGGGGGAAGCGUUGCCAAGGAGACCUGGCCAGGUGGGGGAGGGAUUACCUGCCCACACAAUAGAGGGAGGAUCUUACCUGGGAAUCCUCACUUGGCUCCAGAGCUUCUCCCACCCUACCCACCCUCAGUUAAUGUCUUAUUUUGCAGGUUAACUUUUCUUCACAGGUAUGCGGGCGCUGCUACGUUAAGGUCGCUGUCAAAGGGCCGGAAAGGAAUUUCCCUGCAUUGGCAGGUUUCGCCUUUCCCGUAGCAAAACGUCACAACUUUGGCGGUAUCAGGCCUUGGGCGGAAUCCUUUAGUCCAUCUUCCUCUUUGCGGCGGCGAUACCAGGGUUCCCCGUUAAAGGGGUUUCUGAAGGGAGGCUUUGACCGUACGCCAAAAGGUCAUUAUUGCUCUCCCCUGCGGCGGCGGCGUAACGGGGGCGGCUAUCUCUGCUUGAACAUAUGUUCUCCAGAGCCAGCCCAUCCCCCCCACACACACUGGAUAACCCUGAUGCUCCCUAGGUCCCCGGCUGGGGACCGGGGAGGGAGAACGCCCAGUGCCUGAGCCAAGGUCUACCCACAUUUGAAAUUUAAUAAAGUUGUGGCCAAUUUAAUCCCAUAGCACGUUGUCUUGAGUCGUUAUUCCACAUGACAGGGGGGACCGCUCGGGAUCUGGGGACUCCGCCUGCCCACGCAAAUAUGUCCUUAUCACUACCCAAAAAAAGACUGGUUGCAAAUGGAGGCUUGGCAGCCCUCUAGAUUCUGAUGCUGCUUUGUGACAACAAGAUUAGAAUGCUGGUGGUUGCAUACCCCUAAACACUUUGUGAAUCUUUGUACUUUUGUCCAUUUACUGAAUUUCCCCCCCCCUGAUUUGAACUAUACAAUGGGGAUUUUUCUGGAGUCAAAAUGAGAGUACCCCUAAACAUUUUUUUGAGAAAAAAGCUGGAUAGAUAGAUAGAUGAUAGAUAGAAAGCCUCACUCCUGUAUUAAGCAGCUAUAUGCCUGACCAAAAUAUAUGUCCACCACUGCAAUUUUCAUGCUUCAUCUGUUGGAUUUCCCUCCUUUCAUCCAACAAGAUGGGACUUGACAGGGAAAGAUAACGACAAUUGAUUAAUUUAUUAUUAUCAUUUAUUGAUUUUAUAUCAAUAAAAUAAAGUUAGAUGGCAAGCCUACAAAGAAGAACCUUGACUUUACACACACUCUCUCUUUUGUGUUUCUCUCUGCCCUGGAGAAGAGCGGUCACUCCCCUCUGGGUGGUUGUGGACCUCUCUUCCGUCCAUCAUCUCCAGCAGCUAGGGCGAAAUGUUUUGCUGGUUGUCCCCCGGCUGGCAGAAUCAAGGAGCAGGGAUCCCCUGCCAAAAUGGGCCAAUCAAUGGCCCUGCUGUAUGGGCAGAGCCUUGUCAGCUGGCCAGUCAUUGGCUGCAGGCCAUGUCUGGUCAGCUAGGAACACAUAAAAGUUGGUUGGCCUGCCAUUCACAGCACAGCCAGCCAACUUGGUAGAUCAACAUCUUGGAGUUGGCUUGACCCUGAUGCAGUUUCAGCUGAAAUGGAUCUACAUGUCAGGAGUCCAGGUUCCCAGCUUGAUAACACAGUAAGCGUAGAUAAUUAAAGUGAGGAUUAAUUGCAAAAACAAACAGAUAACGCCAGACGGCUCGAACAAAGCCUCCAGCAUCAUUACUCAAGAUAACUCUUCUAAAGAGUCCUUCUGGGAUCUACAGAAGAUUUUGAACUUACAUCUCUUAAAUCUCCUGUUUUGCUUCCUGUCUAACUACCCUCCCAUUUGCUGACUCUUAGGACUUAGUGGGUCAGUUCCACCUUCUGAGAGGCUGCCUCUGAGACUCUUUGUGCCUUUUUGUGCUUCCCACGAGCUUUGGCUAUGUUCUAGCCUGAACUCCGUUACUGCCUUAUCAGAUGGCCCGUCAAGGUCAGGAAGAGCCGGAGUUUACAGCUGCCAGCUCUCCGCUGCCUGUCUCACAUCUAAGUCUCCCUAUUCCUGGCUGCUUUCUGCAGUUGGCUGCAUGCCUUCUUUUGGAGCUGACUCACUCCUGACACUACAUAUAUUGCCUGAGCCAAAGACCCACCUACACCUGUAAUCAAUAAAGUUGUGGCCAUUUUUAAUCCAGUUCAUUGUCUAUUUGAGUUCAUCCUAUCAUACCUCAAGGUACUCUCUGUGACGGCUGCCACAAAUGCACCCUCCUAUCUUUCUCUCCAGCUGCAAUUAUUUAGAGUAGAUAUCUCAACCAUAAAGUUGCUCCACCGGCACAAAGGCCCCUUGGAAAGGCACACAAGCAAACUCAUACAACAAUAAGAUUCGUGAUGGUAAAGCAGUUUGAGAAGUGCUUCCUAAUUUACUGUAGCCCUCCGAUAAUAAAUAGCCCAAGCUCAAGGAUAUACAGAUCCAUCUCAUUCCUCAAAGAUAUAGGCAGGAGGGUGUUUUGAAUCAGAGCCUUAAAAUCCCAUUGCAUGUACAAUCACAGCAUUCAUCAAAGACUCCUGGCAUAUCAUCCAUUAAGAAUACUGAAUGGAGGCAGAGCAAAGACGUUGAAAGGGAAAAUCUUUGACAGCCGCUGUGCUUUAUUUGUGGCAAAUAGUGUUUUGUGGAGUGUGGUUCCCCCCCCCUUCUCUUGAUAGGGACGAGUGAGAGAUUAGAAGUGUACCAUACAGUUAGUGCCAACAGAGCCUUUUCACACUGCUUUUACGCUAAAAUAUUUAGUUCUUCCAUUUGUGUUUUUAUAAUGUUUGGAUCUACACAGAUUAGGAAAGUCGUAUGUAUCUAUACAAACAUUGGGAUAUUGUAGAACCCCUUGAAGCAAUGUGACACAGAACACUGUAUAUCUGAAAUCCUGUAACUUUAUCUGUCACAAAAUAUUUGCGGUCUGAAGGGUAUCAACACGAGAACGGGCCUUUUCUGUAGUGCCUUCCCAUUUGUGGAAUGUUUUUCAUCAUAAUCUGGUGAACCGAGUUCGCUUUCUCGCUCCUCCACAUGCAGCUGCUGGGUGACCUUGGGCUAGUCAACACUUCUCUGAAGUCUCUCAGCCCCACUCACCUCACAGAGUGUUUGUUGUGGGGGAGGAAGGGAAAGGAGAAUGUUAGCCGCUUUGAGACUCCUUAGGGUAGUGAUAAAGCGGGAUCUCAAAUCCAAUCUCUUCUUCAUCUUCUUCUUGACUGGUGCCUUCAUAAUAUAUAUUUUAGACACCAGGCGAAAAUGUUCCUCUUCAACCAAACCUUUAGCUGGUUCUACAGCCUUUUAAAUGUGUCUGUGGGAAUGGGGGGAUAUUGUUCUGCUGCUUUGUUUCACUUAUUUAUUUGUUUUUAUCCUGUAUUUUGUUCUGUGAACUGCCCUGAGAUCUUAUGAUGAAGGGUGGUUUAUAAAUCUAAUAAAGACUGUGGUGUCUUUAUUCUUUUAGGAGGGAUUCAAGGGGUCUUACCUGGAAAAUAUUAGAACAUAUUUCAGUCUGGACCAGGCAGACUAAUUGCGUAUUGUCUUUAAGAAACUCACAUGAGUUUGCAACCAGUUUUCUGCUGUGCGUGAGAAGGGGAACGUAAACUCUGCUAAGUAAAGGAACUUGCUAGCACAAGUUAGGAAGGAUAUUAAUAUACAAUAUAUCCUUUCCUGCCACCCUGAACAUUGCCACAAACAAUGCAGUAACACUGGGGAAGCAUGGCAGAAGAAAUCCUAAGGACUGUCCAGUACAAAUCCACCACUAUUAUUGUGUCAAUGACACGUUGCAGAAUGUCCCUACAUAUAGACCAACAAUAGUUUGGAGAGGUCCGUAGUAUCCCGCCCCCAUUUCAAAUGUAUUUCUCUACACACAACUGGGCCACAACUGCUCUAUGCUGGGGGAAAUAAGUUAUGCAGAUAGGUCUCAUUUGAUAGCAACUUAUAUGUCCAAGGGCUUAACAAAAGGACCUUGCAAUCAGUUACUCUUGGAAGCUGGGCAUAAAGAGGCUGCAGCAAUGGUUUUUUUUUAUUCAGGAAGGUAUAUUAAUUAAAGUUAAUGAUAUAAAAUGGUUCGUCACCAACAUUUCCCAAUUAGACUGGGUCUAUGUGAAAGGUUGCCCUUUGACAUACAGUGGUGCCUCGCAAGACGAAAAGAAUCCGUUCUGUGAGUCUCUUCGUCUAGCGGUUUCUUCGUCUUGCGAAGCAAGUCCAUUGACGGAUUAGCGGAUUAGCGCUAUUAGCGGCUUUUAGCGGCUUUUAGCGGCUUUUAGCGGCUUAUCAGCUUAUCGGAUAAGCAGGUAAGCGGCUUAGCGGCUUAGAAAAAGGGGGGGAGGGAAAAAACCCCGCAGGAACUCGCAAGACACUUUCGUCUUGCGAAGCAAGCCCAUAGGAGAUUCGUUUUGCGAAGCACCUCCAAAACGGAAAACUCUUUCGUCUAGCGAGUUUUCCGUCUUGCGAGGCAUUCGUCUUGCGGGGCACCACUGUAUUGUUAUAGCAAUGCAAAAUGAAAGCUACUUGAGGCUUCUAUUUUGCUUUUAACCGGUUUUUAUUUAUUUAUUUUAAAAGGGCGACUCUCCUGACAUGUCUGUAAUUAAAAAUGCAAAAUGUCUGCAGUUCUGAAAGGAACUGUGUGGGUGCUCGAAGCAGACUUUACAGAAUUUAAUAGUGACUGUUCUGAAUUACUCUAGGAGCACCCAAGGAUUCAGCUGAAUGUGAUUACGAGCUCACUUUGGAACUUUCAGGGAGUUCAGCUAUGGAAUGUGCUCAUUCAGGAUGCCUGAGGACAUUGGGAGUGGGCUGGCACAUUUGUGCCAGUUGCCCCUUCCUUUCCAAUUUCACCCCUUAGGCGUGUUUUGCCAUUAUUAAUAGUUAAAAAGGUAAAAGGUAAAGGACCCCUGGACGGUUAAGUCCAGUCAAAGGCGUCUAUGGGGUUGCGGCGCUCAUCUCACUUUCAGACUGAGGGAGCUGGCGUUUGUCCACAGACAGCUUUCCGGGUCAUGUGGCCAGCAUGACUAAACCGCUUCUGACCCAAUGGGACACCAUGACAGAAGCCAGAUCGCACAGAAACGCCGUUUACCUUCCCACCACAGCGGUAUCUAUUUAUCUACUUGUACUGGUGUGCUUUCAAACUGCUAGAUUGGCAGGAGCUGGGACAGAGCAACAGGAGCUCCCUCCAUCACAGGGAUUUGAACUGCUGACCUUCCGAUCAGCAAGCUGAAGAGACUCAGUGGUUUAGACCACAGCGCCACAGGCACCUGCUGUAGAGGGAAGCGAGAAGCAGAUAGGGCUCGCAACCCAUCUAGGAGAAAGAAAACACUUCUUCUAAACCCAUGCUGUCUUGUGGGAUAUCUUCUGGGGAAUAAAAGGUUAAGGAGUAAGAUUCAUGCAAAUCCUUAAGACGGUUGAAUGGUGCCUUGUAUAGCACCUUCCAGCAACUCCUGCAGCCAAGCUGGUGCCAAACGUAUUGCUCUGCUUUCCUUUGGACCACAUCAGUGAGGCCGAGAAGGGGGUUCUUGUCAUCUGGGCAGUCCAGGACCUUCAUACACAAUGCUCAAGCUUGCAUCCUGUGGAGGUUGGUCUUCACCCCUGGAAGUGCUCUCCAUUGUCUCUCAAGACAGAUGGAUGCCAACCAGACCAUUGGUAUACCUAGCUCAGUACUGUUUAGCCUUAUGGGAAGCAGUUCUGCGGCCUUGCAGGCAGGGAAUUUUUCUCAGCCCUACCAAGAGCCUUAAAAAAUAACACCAAAAAAACCUGGGAUCUUUUUAAUGCCAAGGAUGUGCUCUGCCACUGACCUAAGACCCCCAGAGCUAUGUAGCUGAUGUCACAUGUCAAGCGAUAAGUGUUGCUGCUUGUCAGCUGUCACACACUGUCACAUGUUAAUUGCUACAUUGGCACUUGGAGUCAAAUGUUCCCAGCGACGGAGAGAAAAAACAACAACAUCAUUUUGUGCCAUGCAUCAAUUGGCAGGUGUCAGCUGGCGAUUCAUAUAAAAUUUUUACAUGCUGUCGAUCAAUUUUAACUAUCUUUUCUCUCUCUCUCUCUCUUUUUGCCAGAUAUCCCCAUACCCCCAAAAUAUUCACUCUGAAGUUCUAUCAAUGUUUCUUCAGUGAAUCCUGAAGAAUCAAUACUUACUUCUUAGUAAAAUAAAAUAAAAUAAAAUAGGAAGACUGCAGCAGAGAAGGUUGGUUGAGGGUUUUGUGGAAAAUGUUGGGGAAUCUAUUGAUUUCAGUGUCACUUUUUCAAUUUAAUCCAGUAUUACUAUAAUGAAAUAUUAGAUAUUUAAACACAGAGACUUCAGAAAUCACAUUUUUAAUAUGUAUACCUAAAACUGGAAGGCGACAGAAUAGUAGUAGUAGUAGUAGUAAUAAUAAUAAUAAUAAUAAUAAUAAUAAUAAUAAUGUCAUUAUUUAUAUGCCACUCAUGUGACUGUGUUGCCUCUAUCUCUCUGGGCAGAUGUGUAUCCUAUAACAAAGGGGAACAUUGUUUUGUUGUUUUUGUUUGUUUAUUUACUUGUGUUUUAUCUUGUGUUCUAUUCUGUGAACCGCCCUGGGAUCUCUUAAUGGAGUUUAGUACAUAAAUUUAAUAAAUAAUAAUAAUUCUUGUCACAAGAUUAUGGUUGGCUGCCAUUGGCCUGUUCUAGCAGGCUCUUCUUACAUUCUGGUAAAGACAUUUUUAUUCUGUCAGGCUUUUGUCUUCUGACUGUAUUAUACAUGAAGAUGGUUUGUAUGUGUGACCUCUGCUGCUGUUGCUUUCUAAAUGUAUUUUAAGUAUUGCAUGGGUUUGGGAGGGAAUUGUAUUUCCAGAUUAUUAUUAUUAUUAUUAUUAUUAUUAUUAUUAUUAUUAUUAUUUCGUGAUUUUGUACUUAGUGUAAGCUGCCCUGAGUGGUGCCAUGGGCACCAGCAGAGGAUUGGGGGGCGGCAGAACUUUUCCAUAUAAAUAAAUAAAUAGCAUUUGACCAUGCCUAGAAUUCUGAGAGCCUCCUGAGACUUCAAAGGUAGAGGACUUCCUUUAUAAAUGAGACUGGUUCCUUUAUCUGAUCCUUAAAGACUUGCCUUUGAAUUCUUCUUCCCUCAAAUAGGAGUUGGUUAGACUGAACUGGAAGAAGCGGCCACUGAGUGAAUCUUUUAACAGAUCAGCACUUGAAAGGCAAUUUCAAGUGCUAAAGAAAAAGAGAGACUUGCUUCAGAAGUAGUUUUUUUAAAAAAUGGGAAGGAAAAUGUGGGCACCGUCAGAAAUGUAAAUGUGCUCCUAGCAUCUGAAAAUUCCACCUGCUUUGCAGAACGUUUUCUGACAUCUUCAUUAAUUGCAAUUCUGCUAAUAAGUGAGGGGUGAAAUAGGCAACUUUUCUCUUGAGGUAGUCUGGUGGCCCCACUGAUAAAGAACCAGCCUGUUACAGGUGUUGCAUGGGGAGCUAAUUUCUGUUUGAGUUCCGAAACAUUCAAAAGCCAAGGCACAAAGGGCAGUCUGUAAAUUUAAUUGAGAAAAUUGAGAAACAUGCAGUGGAAGUCGUUCGACUUCCAAGGCGUGUUUGAAAAUGGAAGCAUUUACUUCCGGGUCUUUGGCGUUUGAAAACCGAAACGUUCGUCAACGGAGACGUUAGAAAACCAAGGUACCGCUGUAUUAAGAAAAAUUACAUACAAACUGUGUAUUAGAAAUCCACAUUAAAAUGCUGGCGAAUUUCCAUGAGAACUUGCUUUUUAAUAAUAAUAAUAAUAAUAAUAAUAAUAAUAAUAAUAAUAAUUGAAGACAUGGAGAAAUUGAAAGGGACACAUUCACCCAUUCUUACCACCAACCCAGAACUACAGUAUUUUAGGGCACAAAGCCAGGAUGACCACGGAGGAGGAUGUUAUCAUGAGAGCGCUGAAUUUAAGUGAUUAUUCUUCAUGUUCCGGAACCCAAGUAAAUAUGUCUGAAGCUUAGGGAAAAUCAGUCUGUUUCCAGUUCAAGUCGCUUCUGCCCAUGUUCCUCUGGAAGUCCAUUUCUUCAGUUAUCCAGGAAUUGGGGGGGGGGGGGCUGCAUGAAAAAAUUCUAAAUGUGUUUUCUGAAUACACAUUAUUUUGUUAAUGAACUGGGAUCUGAAUUAGAACAUUUGGGAAAUACAAAACUGAGUGGAUAACAUAGGUGGUAAUCUGAACCUCACCUACUUAAGAGCGAGUGCCACUGAAUUUAAUAGGACUUGGCAGAGGAGUGAAGGGAAUUGUACUUAGACAGGUUGGUAGAUAGGUGGAACAGGGCUGCUGGGGAGCUUUCUUCAGCUUAGAUUUUGAUCUGAUCUGAGCCAGAGAAGAAUCUGGGUUGUUUUUUUAAAAUCUCACUUCCUUUUUGCGGAGGGCUUCUAUGAGCUUCCAAAGUGGGUAUCCAAGUUUAGCCAGAAAGCAUGUCACCAAUACCUCUGAUUCUUGGGUCCUGAAUAAAUGGGGUGCCGCUGUGGUCUAAACCACUGAGCCUCUUGGGCUUGCCGAUCAGAAGGUCGGCGGGUUCAAAUCCCCACGACGAGGUGAGCUCCCAUUGCUCUGUCCCAGCUCCUGCCAACCUAGCAGUUUGAAAGCACACCAGUGCAAGUGGAUAAAUAGGUACCACUCUGGCAGGAAGGUAAACGGCAUUUCCGUGCACUGAUCUGGUUUCUCCAGAAGCGGCUUAGUCAUGUUGGCCACAUGACCCGGAAAAACUGUCUGUGGACAAACGCUGGCUCCCUCCGCCAGUAAAGUGAGAUGUGUGCCGCAACCCCAGAGUCGUCUGCCACUGGACUUAACUGUCAGGGGUCCUUUUGUUAGAAUUCCUGCUUCGUGAUUGCAGUCAUGGGAUUGUUGUCUAUCGCAUGACUGUAUAAGUUCUGACUCCCCAGAGUGGGAAGUGACGGAGACAGGAUGUUUGUGUUACUAUUUUCCAUGAAGUGGGACUAUUGUCCUUUGUUCUUUUUAUCUUUGCUGUCUGAUACUAGAGAGAGAGGGAGCCAUGUUGCAGUGCUCCUUGUGUGCUUAUAUGUAAAUUAAGUAGAUUAGCCAAAAUGCUGAGUUGCUGAGGUCUGUUACGCAAGCUGCGAAGACUCUGUGGAUCCCUAAGUGUGCCAAUGUCUGUUGGCAUUGGUUGCUGUGAUGUUCAGGCUGAAGCUCCCGAACAAACAACCAGGAGGGAGAGAACAUGCCAGUCAGGCAUGUGUCUCUGCCAGAGUCCUACUUGAGUGUAGGAUGAGCUCCUGACACCUUUACCUUUUUUUUUUUAAGACACAAGGAGUCAUCCCCCUAUUUGCCGUCUAAAUUGUUGUCAUCUUAGCAGGGCUGUAUCACAUGAUUCUGCUUUGGAAUAGACUGGCAGUAAGAGACUGCUGCAAUCAUGAGUACAUAGAUGGGCUCCUAUGAGAAAAGCAAAGAAGAAUGAGUAGCCUUCAUACUGGGGAGGGGUGUCUGUAACAGAUUGUCAUGAAAUCCAAAAGUGGCCUGAUGUAUAGUGCUGUUGAUUAUGUGCCAAGCAUUUCUAAUCCCAUUCUAUAUUCAGGGGUGACAAUGGCUGUAAUGAAUAGGAAGUGGAACAUUAUGAAUUCAUUCUUGUGAUGAUAAUUGUAACGAGAAUAGUGAUUGGUACUGCAAAUCGAAUCCAUCCUUGUGACAAUUUGAAGAUGGCAAUUUGGUUGCUAUGUUGUGAGUCUACCAAAGUAGGUAUUGAAGCUGUAGAAAGGAAUGAGACUCUAGGCAUUCCACGGGAGAAAAUAAAGCCUUAAUUGGAAUGAAAUAUGAAUGUUUGUGCUCUUUGUCCUGGUACCCGCAAAUUUCCAAGUAUCAUCUACACAACUAAGGUGUGAAAGGAAAGAGGAGGGGCAGGGGAUCCGCUAAAAUAAUAGUCAGUGUCUCUGAAUUCUCUACAGUAUAAUGACAUGUACUCAAUUUAACAGAGGAGAGAAAUCCAUGAAAGAUCCACAUUGAAAAAUGUGAUGAACAUACACUGAUCUGUCUCUUUACCAUCUCUCUAUCUUUCUACUAUCUAUUUAUCAUCUAUCUAUCUAUUUAUCAUCUGUCUAUCUAGCUAGCUAGCUAGCUUUCUAGUUCUCUAACUUUCUAUCUAUCAUUUGUCAAACAUCUAUCUAUCUAGUUACCGUUCGAAAACAUUUUUAUGAUUAUCAUCAUGAAAAAGACAAUGUGGAUGACUUUCAAGAAUAAAUAGAUUUACAGAAACAAAAAAAAGAUACUUGAACUCCAAACAAGAAGGCACAACAUCAGCUUUAGACAACUGUGGGUCCUUGGAGAGGACACCCACAGUGGAUUUUCCUUAAAAUAUGAUGGGAGGUGAGAGAAUCAAAAUAGCAUCCACCCCUUCUGUGUCACCCAGAGUGGGCCACUUCCAAGUUGCCCAGCAUAAAGCCAGGAAGUGUCUUUCCCCUCUAUGAAUUUCUGUGUAUUGCAAAUCGCUUGGAAGGCUUAGGGUCUCUCACUUCAUGGUAGAUGAAGCAUGGAAGAAUAGGGGGGAGGGGGUAGCUGCUGGAGUUUUGCUCACUGUCACCUAUCACCACCAUCCCAGGAGGGGGAAGCAAUUGGCCAGGCCAUAUGGGUGAGGAAUUAUAGGACUGGAAAUGCCAUCUAGUCCAACCCAAUGCUGAUGUAGGAAAUCCACAACUGCUGCAUCCCUAAUAGGUGUCAGGGAGUCUUGAUAACAAAACAAGCGUAGUUAAUUAAAAGGAAGAUUUAUUGCAAAGAAACAACAACUUUCAUUGGAGUGGUGAGCACAGACAUCUGUCCAUUAAUCUAAGAUAUCGCUCCUAAGGCGAGUGUUUCCGGCGAGGCCAGAAACAGCCAAACUUCCUCUUGUGAUGUGUUCUGUCUUGAAGACCCCCCAUACGCCUAGACCUAGGGGAGAAGGGGUCAGCUCCCACCUCUUUCUUAUUCUCUGAGAGUUUACUUCCAUGCUGUUUCCCACUUCCUAAGCUGGUUUCAUUUCUAACUCCUGCAUUUUGCUCUUCGCUAGCAUGCUGGCUCUCUAAUAGGUUUUUAUCAUUUGGCAUUCCUACGGGUGGGGGAGUUGGCUCACGGCUAUAAUCCUCUUGUUUUGUAGUUAACCCUCUCUCCUCCUGGCUCCUCUCUUGACUGGGAACUAGCUGCAAACUUCUCCUGGGGUCUGGCUCAUUCAUGACACCCAGCUUCUGCUUAAGAAAUAACAAAGGAAAACCAUCACUUUCCGAGACGGUCUCUUCCAGUGUUAGAGAAGCAGGAGCAGUUUCUACCUCCAUCUUCCUCACCUUCUCUCCCUGGGCUUAAGGAUAUUGUGCAUUAGCAGCAGGUGGAAAGGAGGAGCAGGAGGAGCAGGAAUGCUGGUUGACAGAGGGAACCAACCAUGCCAGUUUUGAUUCUGAAUCCAAGGCAGGAGAAGUAAGCCUGGUCCCCUUCCGGUCCAUUUGGGACUUCCAUCAGCCCAAGCCAGCGUGGUCAUUAGCCAGGGAUGAGGGAAACUGUGGUCCAACAACAUCUGGAAGAUCCUAGGUUGACCACUCCUAGUUUAAGUGCAGGUUGGAUACUUAUUACAGAAGUAAAGAGAGAAUUCUAGCAGUCCUAUUCAACUGUGGCAUCAGUCCAGAAUACACCAGCUUUUGGUCAUGGAUUCAAAUACCAAGGUUGUAUUCAACAUAGCGUUAAGCAGAUUUAUUGUUGUGCAAUGGAAUUAUUUUCCUUCUCAGUUGCCCCCCUAAAUUUUGGGCUCCCCCCUCCCAAUCCUCCAGAGCAUUUGGGGAUAGCACAGGUCAUGGGCUGGAGAAGAGAGGAGGAUAAUCCUCUUGCACCAGCACAAAAAAUGUAGUUGAAUAUUGCCCAAAGUUAUAAAUAUAGAAAUGAAUGCUAAAACACAGGCCAUGUUUCUACAGCUGUGACCUGUUUAGCGGAGUUUUAUGAAUUGGUCCUUCAGAUAAUUUUGAUUAGUUUACUAUAUAGAGUUCCAUUUUCACUGUCUUCUCAAUGUGCUAACAUUUGCAAAUGAGUUCAAAAUAUUUUGAUACGUUUUGAUCUUGGAUCUGAAUUAAGACCAAAUGAUGUCUAGUAUGUACCUAAUUAAGGCUUGCAUUUGGAGGAAGGAUUCAAUUUUGCUUUUAAGGGGUAAUUUAUAGCUAUCAAGUGCCUGUUCCAUUAAAAUAUUAAGAUAAUAUUCUGGAAUCGUUAAAAUAAAAUAUGUGUUUUUCUUUUUAAAAGAGAAUGACAGCUUGCAAUUAUUAUGUUCAGCUGUAAAAAUAAAAAAUACUUGAAGUUGAAAGUGCUUCGAAAAAACAGUGACUUGUAUUGGUGUUGUCACCUUCAUAAGUCACGGGCGGUCUUUAUCAAAUUUUUUAAAAAGAACGUUAUUGAUUUGCUUAGGAGAAAAUGUAUUUAAAAAGUGCCCCAGUGGUGUAGUUCUGCUUAUUAUGAAAACACUAAAUAGCUGAGGGGCAUUAAAAUAGUAUUUGAGGGGGAAAGGAAUCUAUUUUUAACAAAUUAGCUUUGAACCAUUUGUCCAGAGAAUCCAUGUUUUCAAUCUAUGCCACCGUUUGGGAUGUAAUUGAAAACCAGCUCUCUAUCAUGCUUAAGUCGCCCCCAGUGUAGUACGAUUCACUGUAGGGUGCAUGAGUAUUGGGGAACUUGUAAGAAGUGUCAACUGGAAUGUUAUUAAGUGAAACCACAGGGGUCGGGACAUGGUUGUUAAUGAGUAGCACUCCUUCCUGUGUAAGCAUUGGCUGAAGCCAUGAUCCUGAGCAUCUUUAGUCUCACUGGGACUCCUUUGCAAGUUAAUGGAUGUAGGGCUAAAGUAGUUAUUCAAAUGGAAGCGUUAUCACUUUACCCAGUUGUUGGUAGAAAGUCAAGGUGGAGAGUGGAGUGGGGUGGGGUGGGGACGAAAGAAUGGCUUGGAUCAAAAUGUAAAUGUAUCUGCUGGGAAUAGAUUUUCAAUUUCUGUAAAUGGUGUGCAAAGCUCUGUUACUGGAACACGCUGCAUUAUUUUCUGUACACCGUGAUCAAUAAGCAGGAAUUGAUUAUUUAGGGAGCACAUCUAUAAUGGCAUAGAAAUAAUGGGGACCUAGCAGAAUAAACACAGGGUUGCAUUUUAAAAUGUGCUUGGGCAGAGAAUGUACGGUACUGGGAAUGCACUCAGCUUCAUUAGGAGGAAAAUAAAUGGGCCCAAGCUGGGUAUAGAAGCAAACUGAGGAUCAUCCCGGGGGGAUGCCAUUAGAAAUAUUUUAUGAAGGCAAAGCCAACCUACAAUGAAAUGGCCAAUUAAAAGUCGAAUGAAGUCCGGCCCAAUAAAAAUAUCUUUAGCAAGCUAUGGAAAGAGCGUUGAUGGGUUUUUAGAGGAAAGGAAUUCUGUAGUAGCCAAUCAGAACUGGAUACAUGGAUGGAAUAAGUAAACAAGCAUUGGAUGAUACUAGCACUAAUCCAUUGCUAGGGCAAGGAUUAGUGCUAGUAUUCAACAUUCCCCUCCUCUCCUCCCCCAAAUGUGCUCCAGUUGUGUUGGAAGAACCCCCCAUAACAAAUUUAGGGGGCUCACAAGGAGAGGGGAGAGGGAGAACCUUCUGUUGUGCAAGGAGAAAUCUUUGCACCAAAGAACAAUUUGCUUAGUGCUACAUUCUCAGCUUAUUUGAGAUACAGAAAUAGAAUGCAGGGAAAGAAAGAGUGUCUUGUGUUGUUUGAGAUCUGGAUCACUUAGAGUUUGUAGAUUGAAGCUACAGUGGUACCUUGGGUUAAGAACUUAAUUCAUUCUGGAGGUCUGUUCUUAACCUGAAACUGUUCUUAACCCGAGGUACCACUUUAGCUAAUGGGGCCUCCUGCUGCCGCCGCACUGCCGCCGCGCUAUUUCUGUUCGCAUCCGGAAGCCAAGUUCUUAGCCCAAGGUACUAUUUCUGGGUUAGCGGAGUCUGUAACCUGAAGCGUCUGUAACCCAAGGUGCCACUGUAGUGCCUUGAAUUGUAUUCAGAAAAAUGGAGACACAUUUCAGAUGUUGGGGUUGUGGUGUAGCGUGUUCCUGAUAGCCUACCCAUACAAGGAAGUGCAACAUUCUGUUUUGAUAUGAUGAAGUUCCUGAGCAGUCACAACUUUUUCAAUUAAAUAUUUAGAGGCAGAGAAACUGAUUGAAAUACUCAUUCAGGGCAUAACAGGAUAAUAGAAAGAAUACAGUCAGAAACACAUGUGGACUAGGAAGAGAAAUUCUGGUGCUCCUCCCAUGAAAAAAAAAUGAGUAAUGGGUGUUAGGGUAUGAGACUAACAAGCAAUUACCUAAGUGAGUACUCAGAUUUAAUUUCAUCUCAUCUGUCUGCCUAUAAAAUUGGGAAGAACUGCGGAAGUGCACAUUCAUGGUGUGUUGCGAUUUUCUCUCAGCAUAUGCCACUGGACAUGAUGGGGACAGUGACAGAUCUCAUUUCUUUAGCCACAACUCUCUCUCCCUUUCAUGCUUGCUGUCAUUUUAUAAAGACAAUAUAUUCUUUUUUUUAUUAUUUUGUACAGUGGAUGCUCAGGUUGCAAACGGAAUCUGUGCCGGAUGCACAUUCGCAACCCGCAGCAUUCACAACGCACAGCGGCGGCAUGUAUGCGCAUGCGCGGGUUGCGAUUCGGUGCUUCUGCUGAAAGCGCGAUUUAGUGCUUCUGUGCAUGCGCAACCCCUGAAACCCAGAGGUAACCCGUUCCGGUACUUCUGGGUUUUGGCGGGUGCGUAACCCCCCCAAAAAUGCAACCUGAAGCGGCUGUAACCCAAGGUAUGACUGUAUGGGGUUGGGAUGUUUUGCACACCCAAGAAAUUGUUCCCCGUGCAUUUGGAAUAGUGUCCCUAUGUGCAUAGAAGCAUGCCGGGUGGUUUGUUUGUCUCCCCCUUCUAAGUUUAAGGAGAAUGAAAGCUGAGGGGAAGAUGAAACAGGCCGUUUCAUAGAAAUAGCAUGGCUGAGCAGGAGUGCAACGAUUAUUUCAUACCUGUGAGUGGAGAAAACAACAGGCUGCCAAGAAUCCCUAAAAACAAGCACAAAAAAUGUGACAGUAGCAUCCUAAGCAAAGCAAGGGGAGCAGGUUUGAAGUGAUAACUAUGGAGAUAACUUCCAGGUGCUUUGAACAGGUGAGUUCAUCAGAAACGGAACCACAUUUUGUCUCGGGCUUUAAGAUCUUGAAGGUUUUCAGGGUAAGUCUAAGCCAAAAUACCCUCCCUGUUUCCAGAGGCGAAAACAGGGAGAGGAAAGGAGGGACCCCCAGUGUCAACCGCCAUUUCCCCCAGAAUGCCCUUGUGGAUGAUGCUAUAUGAUGAAGCAAGGUCGCUGAUUGCAGCUUUGUGAAGGGAAAAUGGCAAACAGUGACUGAUAGCUGCCGCUGGGAAAACAGGCAUUACGAGCAAGCAAUAGCAGAAAGGUAGAUUAAAACAGAUGAUUCAUUUAUUUCAGAAUUUAUAAACUACUCUACAUUCAGAGAAUACCUUGGCAGUGUUCAGAAACAGAUUGUAAAAUGGAAUGCAGAUGUAUCACAGAACAGUACUAAAACCAGCAGGAAUUAAAAGCUGAAGAAAUGAAAUAACAGUUACUUGGGAAUGCUUGGAGCAACCUUGUUUUCUGCUGCUCCAGAGGGUAGGACAUUAGGACGAAUUUUCUGGUGGUAUUCUGUUUGAUAAUGUAAUAGACUGCCUCAGAUGGUAGUAGGCUAUUCUUUACUGGGUUUUUUAAAAAACAAAUUGGAUGGCCAUCUUUCAGCAAUUCUUUAGCUGUGAUUUCUUUUCCAACUCUUCAAUUUUAUGAUGGGCCCAAAGUUCGAACUUUUGGCCACCUUCAUUCUGAGUAUGUUUACGGGUUAGCAUUUUUACCCUCAUUCCAAGACUGUCGGUUCUAAAUAAAGUUAGAUAUAUAUAUAGCUACUUAUUUAUGUUCCCAGUAGUUUCUUCUUAGUGUUAGAACUAGUAUUAUUGCCAACUUUCAGUUGAAAAAACUUCACCUGAUCGUUAACUGCAAAAAUAUUUCUUUGAAGCUCGAGAAGGUGAUGAAUAAAAACUAGUAGGUAGCUCAUAAUUUGUAAUGUGCUCACCAAAUAAUGAACCCAGUAAUAUAAACUCAGGUGGAAGUUCACUGUUGUGAUAUAUUUUAAAAAUAUGCUUGUUUUUGUUUCGUUUUUGCACAUGCAGCUGGGAAAUGUGGUGUGCAUAAGGUAAAAAAGGUAAAGGACCCCUGGAUGGUUAAGUCCAGUCAAAGGAGACUAUGGGGUUGCGGCGCUCAUCUUGCUUUCAGGCUGAGGGAACUGGCGUUGUCCACAGGCAGCUUUUGGGUCAUGUGGCCAGCAUGACUAAACUGCUUCUGGCACAAUGGGACACCGUGAUGGAAGCCAGAGUGCAUGGAAAUGCUGUUUACCUUCCUGUCGCAGCAGUACCUAUUUAUCUACUUGCACUGGUGUGCUUUCGAAAUGCUGGGUUGGCAGGAGCUGGAACAGAGCAACGGGAGCUCACUCCGUCAUGGGGAUUCAAACCACCGACCUUCCAAUCAACAAGCCCAAGAGGCUCAGUGCUUUAGACGACACAUGCCACCUGUGUGCAUCAAAACAUCAGAAGAGUCCUGUUAGGUCACUGCAAUGAACCAUCUAGUCCAGCAUCCUAUUCUCACCUUGCCCAACCAGAUGCCUGUGGAAAACCGUCAAGCAAGACCCAAGCACAAGAGCACUUUCCCCUCCUGUGGUUUCCAGGAACUGGUGUUUGGAAAAGUACUGCCUCUGAUCAUGGAAGCAGUGCAUAGCCAUCAUGACUAGUAGCCAUUGAUAGCCCUCCAUGACUUUGUGCAAUCUUCUUUUAAAGCCAUUUAGGCUUGUGGCCAUCACUGCCACCUUUGAGAAGGAGUCCAUUAGUUUAACUGUGUGUGUGUGAAGUACUUAAUUUCAUCUGACCAAAAGUGCAUGCAUAUUCCCAAUAAGACUUUUUCAUUUCCUUCCCACAGUAAAGGGAUAUGUCAAAGCUGGCUGGAUCAAAGCCAGAGCUCAUAGUACAUUAGAUAAUUCUGACACCUGCAAGAUUCGAGUUACAAGCUGACCCAUUUCAAGUUUCAGCAGUGUCACUUAGAAUGACUUCUGUGAAACUGCUCUGGGGAAACUGAUGUGAGGUUCCCUAUACUGUGGGGAUGUCAUUAUGAUGACACCCCCCACAGUAUAGAGAGGCCACCCUGGAAACGUACCUCGACGUUCCCAUGUGGGCAGAACUGUCAAAGGGUGUAGUGCUGAACUGUGAAGAAUUUUGUAUUUCUCUUAGUGCUCUUUCUCUGUUUCCCUUGAAAUCUGCUCUGUUGUUUGCUGCUUUUAAGAGAAUUGAGAGGACAUACUACCCAAAGGUCUAUUAGAGCACUAGGUGAAGGUAAAAGUAAAAGGUAAAAACUGCAAAAGGUAAACUGCAAAAAUAUUUCUUUGAAGCUCGAGAAGGUGAUGAAUAAAAACUAGUAGGUGGCUCAUAAUUUGUAAUGUGCUCACCAAAUAAUGAACCCAGUAAUAUAAACUCAGGUGGAAGUUCACUGUUGUGAUAUAUUUUAAAAUUAUGCUUGUUUUUGUUUCGUUUUUGCACAUGCAGCUGGGAAAUGUGGUGUGCAUAAGGUAAAAAAGGUAAAGGACCCCUGGACAGUUAAGUCCAGUCAAAGGUGACUAUGGGGUGUGGUGCUCAUCUUGCUUUCAGGCCGAGGGAGCCAGCAUUUGUCCACAGACAGCUAUCUGGGUCAUGUGGCCAACAUGACUAAACUGCUUCUGGCACAACGGAACACUGUGCCAGAAACCAGAGCGCACGGAAACGCCGUUUACCUUCCCACCACUGCGGUACCUGUUUAUCUACUUUUGAACUGCUAGGUUUGCAGAAGCUGGGACAGAGCAACAGGAGCUCACCCCAUUGUGCAGAUUCGAACCACUGACACACUUGGAUGCAUAUUUUCUGUACAUUAAGAUUGCCUUCUCAUUUUCUUAUUUUCUUUUACAACAGAAAGGAGAUGCAAAAGUGAUUCAACCUAUUCUCCUUCAGUUUCCAACCACAAAGGUCCAUAGAAUCCUGUGCUGUUGGCUGACAGUUCAGUUAAGUGAACUCCCCUGUGUCUCAGUAUGUCUCUCGUUUCCUUCCUCUUGGGGUUUGCUUUCAUCUUGUUGUGCAUGUCCCCACUCCGCUUUCUCUUGAAAGGCGACCAGGAGCGUGUCUGUUCCUGCAGGAUGAGUCAGAGUGCACCACCACCAACUUCUAAUGGCUUCAAUUAUUAACUAGACAGCAAAGGAAAAGAGGAAAGCAAUUGACAGCAUGACGCAGACAAUGCAGGCUAAGUUGUUUAAAUCAACUGUAGGCAUGUUCUAAUUUUGCCCCUUAUUAAUUCCCUGCCAGGAAACCACUGGCCUCAACCUUCUUCAGUCAUAAGUCCGUCCAAACCUUUGCACAGACAACAAACUGAAUGCAACGCUUUUGUCUCAUUACUGAAACCUCAGCUAUGUCAUGUAUUUCCUGCUAGAAAAGAAAAGAAAUAGCAACUCACUAAUUGAGAAUAUUGUGGUCACUGCUGAACUAGGUUAUCCUCUGAAUAAUUUGCUUCUUCUGUACCAGUCCGGCAUUCACAUUUAACAAUAAUGCAAUGUUGGUGCACACAAACAUUGAUGGUGAUACAACUGAGUUCCAACUGUGUCACAAAAUGAAUAUUAGAAAACAUAUUAUUUGGAAGCAAAUGAUGCGAAGAAAAGAAGGAACAUAUAACCGGCUUUCUCAGGUAAAAGAAAAUGUUUGCCCAUUAAUCAUCUUGAUUCACACCACUUCUUUCUUUUUUGGGUUUUCUUUUAUGCCUGCUCUUUGUAUGUGCCUCCUACAUUGGAGGGAUAAGGAAAGAAAAACAAAUGAGGAAACGUUUCCUAAUUGCCAAAACAGAAAGCAACAACAACCCAGAAGAACAAAUUAAGAAUGCUAGGGGAUAGAUAUUGGCAAGUAUCUGUUGUUAGUAGAUAGCUAUCUUGACAAUGGAGGAGAACUGCUUUCAAACAUGCCAAACAACACUUGAGCCAAGGAUACAAUUAACCAGUGCCAUUCCUACCUAACUGGCAUGGGGGUGAAUUUGCCACAUCCCCAGUCCCCUCCAAAGAAGACUCUCUUGGUUUUGCCCUGGGGAUAGGCUUGGGGAGCGUCAGGUGUCUGAAGUGAGCCAAUCAAUGGGAGGAGCAGAGCUGGUUUGCUCCUCCUCAGAUUGUACAGUCUGCUCUUCGCUACUCUCUCCCUCCCUCAAUAUGCAGUAUGGACUUGGGCUAGUCAUCUUUUUAAGGGAGCUGAGUAGGAAUUUCUAGGGGAGCCCUUUGACUGGCCCUGGACUCUCCUUUUUUGCCUACUUUAUACUCUUGUAAAUAUUGUGUUGUUUUUGUUAAGUUUAAUUGGGACUUAGUCCACCCAGAAAGACAGGUUAUGAGUUACAGGGUAAUCAAAUGAUACAAUAUUGGGUUAAGGGCACUCUUUGUCACCAUAUGCUUUCUUGAGUUCAUUGGGGUGAACCCUGAGCUGGUGAGGCUUGUUGACUUCACAUAUCCAAGGUACUUGGAGUAAGGAGGAGGGUUUCCUUCCAAUCCUUUUCUCCGACACCACCGCUGAUGCCUACAAACAGGCCCAUGAUUACGGAGGUUCUUCAACUCUUCAAAUUCGGAAGCUUCACUGCCCAGAAUAUAUUUUGAUUUGCUUAAUCAGGUUAUGUGUUUCUGUAGACCCUCAAAGUUGUUAAGAUUCAAUCAUCCAAAGAUCGUGUGCUGAGUCUUUAUUCCGAAUGCUAAUGCCUAUUUCUUAAGCGUAAGUAUGUGUCAAGUAUGGGAGGUCCCCUCUUCCCCCUAAUAGCUCAAACAUAGAUCGGCCUCCCUCUGCCAGGAUCAGAGUAGCUCACUCUGACUCCCCCCCCCAUUUUUGCAGCAAGAAGUGCGCCAACAGAAUGUCCCGCCUCCCCUGAGUCUCUUUUGCUCUCUGACAUGCUCAUAUGUCCGAGAUCGGGGGGUCCCCCGAUCCCCCCCCACUCUCUAUUGAUAUACCAGUUGCUCCCUCCCUUCUGGUUGCCAAACAACCAUCUCAAAGCUGGGCAGCUCUGUGGCUUCCUGUCUCUCUGUUUCGGGAAAUGUUGGAAGUGAGGGGGGAGAAUAGUCCCCCUCCUCUUCUGUUAGAAGUUGAUCUCCCUGUCCUCUCAGUCCUUGUCUUCAGAGUAUACUCUGUCAGUAUGGAUCCAUUUUACUCCAUUUCCACCUGUCUACUUAUGCAAGCAUGGGCACACACAGAGAGAGAGACUCAAGCCUGGCAACAGUGGUCAACUGGAUCAGGCACUGGUCAAGGGCCUAGGAGCUUGGAAGGGUCCCUCACAAGCCCAAACCAUUCACAUUAUCAUUCACCAACGUCUCCACCAGCCCCCUAAAUGCUUUUCAGUGGUGGGCAGCAGUGCCAUUUUGUAUGGGACCCAGGCUCAUUCCCCAUCUGUGGUGAUAACUCCUCAUUUUUUAAAAAGUGCAUGCACUGGGGCAUUGCAUUUUGGGUAACUUAAGAUGGCGUAGGGAGCUGAGCAUUCAUUCACAACUGAAGCAUGUCCUGAGGUCCAGAAGAAGGUGAGUGCUGCUGCCUAGGCCUGACCUCACAGCUGGCACUCUGCCAAGGCUACCCCCAAGUCUGGUGCCAGCCCAGUGCAGACUUGGAUCUAGACCUGCUCUUUCAUGAAUGGAAGGGCUCCUUCAAUCUGAACAAGGGUCUUUGGUCCAGUAGAGGUUCUGAUAAUGGAAGAAGCAGAUGACAAUUUCCAUCUAUUCCUUCUCUAGGUCCCCAGCAUCAUGUUCUGAAAUGUCAACCAGGCACCCGGAACAAAUUUUCAGAAGGCACAAUGGGCUGUAAGCAGAAAUUGAGAGGGAAACCCCUUUCUCACGUCCGCCACCUGGAAAUCUUUGGGAACAAUGAUCCAUUCACAGUACUGUAGUGUGCUCAAGUGGAAAAUAUCUACUAGUAAUGCCAAUAUGAAUAUUCCUUGCUUGAGGGUAAAUAUUGGUGCUCAGCUACAUGGAAAAUACAUGUGGAACUUUUUGCUGUCCACAGUAUACAAUAGAAGCUAUGCAUGUUUUCCACACAAAGACUGAAAUCUCCAGCAUCCAUCAUCUCCCAUAUCCAUAUUGACUGAGCAAUGUGCAGGAUCCCUGUCAAUUUGUGGACAUUCUCCACCAUAGUGUGAAUGUGCACCAUCAUCUGUAUUUACGGGCAGCCUCCAGAAAACUCACAGUAACUCAUCUUUGUCUGUCAGCUGCAAAAAUAAUUAUUUUAGAAGCUGCCAAUGCUUGAUUUGCACUAUAAUUGUAAAUGGGUGGUGGUGGUGGGGAUUUGCUGCUGAUUUGAAAAAAAAAAUGCCCCUGACAAGGUUACAUUAGUCAUGAACUCUCUAGUUUUAGAAGCCCAAACCUUUAAUCAUCCUGCAACUGCUGAAAAGGAAAUAUGGAAUGACUGCCAUUCUGCAUUUAUUCAAAUCGGCCACUCUGCUAUGCUCUCAGAAGAGAUUUUCACAGCUAUAGUGUCCAUCAAAGCGAAUUAGGGAUUUUUUUUUGGGGGGGGGAAUGUCUUUUAAUGCAAGAAAUGCCAGAUAUAACAAAGAAAUCAGCUUUAUUGGUGCCAUCACCUAAUCACAUUCUAUUGCUAAGACACCUGGCAGAUAUGCAGCCAGCAGAAAUAUCAGCCAAUGAAGCCAGCUUCGACAUUUCCCACUGAACGUUGGCUUAUAUGCUAUGAUGAUGGGUAGAGCUGAACAGCAGUGUGCACUUAAGAAAAAGCUGAUUAUCAGCUCUAACAAAUGAUAGAGCUAACUGUGCAUGGUUGCAGCAGUGCAGACAAUUGGCUAUCCAAGGCUAAGACCACAUCUGCUGGCACUGGCUGUACAGCUCAUGAUUGGCACCUGCCCUGAGUUCCUUUUAUAUUGCUUGUUGGCAAUUGUUUUUCACUCUCCUCUUGCUCUUCACAGGCUGCUGCCCCGCAUACAGUGGUACCUUGGUUCUCAAACUUAAUCUGUUCCGGAAGUCCAUUCCAAAACCAAAGCAUUCCAAAGCCAAGGCAUGCUUUCCUAUAGAAAGUAAUGCAAAACGGAUGGAUCCGUUCCAGACUUUUAAAAACAACUCCUAAAACAGCAACUUAACAUGAAUUUUACUAUGUAACGAGACCAUUGAGCCGUAAAAUGAAAGCAGUAAUCAAUGUACCAUGCCAUAAAAUAAAUAAGACAGUAUUGUAGAUGAUAAAAUAAAAUAAAAAAAUCUUACCUGCACUGAUGAUAGUCAUUGUUUGGAUGGGGGGCUUUUAUCCAUUUCCGCAGUCACACCAUCAAUCAAUCAGUAGCUGAAGUGGGUUCCACACAGUCUCAAAAACAAAUUAACCAAAAAAGCCUCAAAAACAAAAACGCCAAGUACAGUAGUACCUUGUUCUUGUACUUCUAAUUGGUGCAGGUGCCCCGGAAACAAUAGCCGACAGCUGCAUUGGUCGUUCAACUUCUGAAAAACAUUCAAAAACCAGAGCACUUACUUCAGGGUUUUCAACGUUUGGGAACCAAAGCAUUUGAGAACCAAGGUACCACUGUACGUAGGUAUCAUCCCACACCCUUCAGGCCAUAGCCCAGGAGUGUCUCACCCAGUGGGGUAGAAUUGUACCAAUAAACCGCUUCCAGUGUCAAGGGGCUGACAGGUUGAUCAGGUCAUUCCCAGGUCAGAAAGGGAGAUGCGAGGCUAAUGUGCAGUUAGUUUCUUUAUUAAGGGAAGGAAAAUAAAUACCAAACAUACUGAAGCUAAACAGGUGUAAGUAUGUCCAGUCCCUGGAUGGGAGAUUACCAUGCGCCCCAUAGAAGAAAAGCAAGGUAUAAAUAUAUUUUAAAAUAUGUAAUUGUUUUGUCUUAACCAUAAACAUAUAUAUGUAGCUCAACAACCCCACAGAAUGCAGGGGGGAAACGCCAUGCAUGUUAAAGGUAGAAGACUGAUAGAUACAGAUGAUAUAGCUGUAGCCAUGGAUAAUUGAUAUUUUAGUCCUUAGAUUUUUAUCGACAGGCAUCAGUUGCUAAACAAGCAAUUGGGAGGAUCGAUUAUAAAUUACAUUAUAUUUGCAGGCACUAAUAAAUGUGCUUUCUUUCUUUUAUAACCACUCUGCAGGAGUCUAAUAUUAUACAAAGCACUCAAGGUUUUCCCCCGUUGUUCCACAUGGCUACUACUCAAGGCACAAUUGUUGAAGAAAUCAUUGGGGGCUUUGUUUUUUAUUUCAUUUCAUUUUCAAUCAUGUUCUGCUCUGACCCUCCUUUUGCAAAUUCUAGUCACAAUUUUGGCCUCCAAAUUUUAUGAAAUACCCUCGCCUGCAAAUGAGGUUAUUUUAAUUUGCACAGUAGGAUUCAUGUGGCAAACUGCAAGUAGGGCCUAUAACAAAAUGUGACAGUGUGGAGUGUUAAGUUGUGGGUGAACAUAUCAGACAAUACAGUGAUUCUUCAAACAGCUCUUGUUUAUUCACAGGCCAGAACAGAACUGAACUGAAGGGUUCAGCCAACCUGCUUAUAUAGAGCUCAACUACAAGGCAACAGUAACAACUUUCUGUAACUAUCCAAUCGCUGAACGUCACUUCCAAUUCCUUAUUUGCAUAUGUGGACCUGAGUGAAAACUAUCUACAGUAUUCCCCUGCUGGCCCAGGGUGAGAACUUCAGUACAUAACAUGGAGUGCUCCUCUGCAGGCUUCCAACCUUUCCCAGUAUGUAUUCCAUCUCCCUCACUCCAAUUUUCCACCUCCCCCCACCAACAGCUGGUCAAUAUAUGAAGAGCCCCGUUGCCAUUAGACGAAGCUCCACCCGUUCUGGAUUCCGACAACCUCCUUCUUCUAGGAGCCAACCAGAUGCCCCAAGGAAGCCCACAACCAGGGCUAGCAAGCCAUCAUUUGCUGCUGCUGUUCCAUAUCUAUUCAGAGACAUAUUGCCUCUAAUAAUGCCAGCUUGGAAACGAGCUUUGGGGACUUCUAAAAUGUAUGGAAGUGAGAGCUGGACCAUAAAGAAGGCUGAUCGCUGAAGAAUUGAUACUUUUGAAUUAUGGUGCUGGAGGAGACUCUUGAGAGUCCCAUGGACUGCAAGAAGAUCAAACCUAUCCAUUCUUAAGGAAAUCAGCCCUGAGUGCUCACUGGAAGGACAGAUCCUGAAGCUGAGACUC
RNAcentral lists this long non-coding RNA (37345 nucleotides) under Podarcis lilfordi (Lilford's wall lizard). The record is from RNAcentral. Lineage: Eukaryota; Metazoa; Chordata; Lepidosauria; Squamata; Lacertidae.